CAGUAGCCGCGGGAAAACGGAGGAUCCAAGCGUUAUCCGGAAUCAUUGGGUUUAAAGGGUCCGUAGGCGGUCUUGUAAGUCAGUGGUGAAAGCCCAUCGCUCAACGGUGGAACGGCCAUUGAUACUGCAGGACUUGAAUUAUUGGGAAGUAACUAGAAUAUGUAGUGUAGCGGUGAAAUGCUUAGAGAUUACAUGGAAUACCAAUUGCGAAGGCAGGUUACUACCAAUUGAUUGACGCUGAUGGACGAAAGCGUGGGUAGCGAACAGGAUUAGAUACCCCCGUAGUCCCUGUCUCUUAUAC
Molecule: ribosomal RNA, 301 nt
Filed under: uncultured bacterium
Lineage: Bacteria
Description: partial 16S ribosomal RNA
Rfam family: Bacterial small subunit ribosomal RNA
Source: RNAcentral